AGAGAAAGGAUCCAAAGGGAUCGCAUUGAUCCUAAUUAAGCUAAAUUAUUUCUCAAUAAUUGUUUUUCUUUGUUAAGAAAUUUUUUUCAAAAAUUUGCUUUCGUUUCCGGAUCAUGCGAUCUCUUUGGAUUCAUCCUU
This is a microRNA precursor of Arabis alpina (gray rockcress), 138 nucleotides long. It matches the Rfam family "mir-393 microRNA precursor family". NCBI's taxonomy places the organism in Eukaryota, Viridiplantae, Streptophyta, Magnoliopsida, Brassicales, Brassicaceae. The record is from Rfam.